This 310-nucleotide ribosomal RNA is filed under the name uncultured eukaryote. RNAcentral's name for it is "partial 18S ribosomal RNA". It matches the Rfam family "Eukaryotic small subunit ribosomal RNA", at positions 1470 to 1796 of the family's 1831-position model. The record is from RNAcentral.
CCCUUAGAUGUUCUGGGCUGCACGCGUGCUACACUGAUUAUUUCAACAAGUGUUUUAACUGGAGAGUUUGCGUAAUCCUGAAAUGUUAUCGUGAUGGGAGUAGAGUAUUGUAUUUGUUAAUCUUUAACGAGGAAUUCCUAGUAAGUGUAGGUUUAUAAGUUGUUCUGAUUACGUCCCUACCCUUUGUACACACCGCCCGUCGCUCCUACCGAUUGAUUGAUCCGGUGAAUUACAUAGAAUUUUGCGUUUUACAUGACGGAAGACGAAGUGUUUUAAACCUUAUCAUUUAGAGGAAGGAGAAGUCGUAACA